CGCGUAGGCGGAGCGUUAAGUGUGGCCUGAAAGCCCCCGGCUCAACCGGGGAGGGCGGCUGCAAACUGACGCUCUUGAGGGCGACAGAGGAGUGUGGAAUUCCUGGUGUAGCGGUGAAAUGCGUAGAGAUCAGGAGGAACACCCGUGGCGAAGGCGGCACUCUGGGUCGGCCCUGACGCUGAGGCGCGAAAGCGUGGGAGCGAACG
Molecule: ribosomal RNA, 206 nt
Filed under: uncultured bacterium
Lineage: Bacteria
Description: partial 16S ribosomal RNA
Rfam family: Bacterial small subunit ribosomal RNA
Source: RNAcentral